Molecule: long non-coding RNA, 475 nt
Organism: Lucilia cuprina (Australian sheep blowfly)
Lineage: Eukaryota; Metazoa; Arthropoda; Insecta; Diptera; Calliphoridae
Exons: 2
Source: RefSeq, a predicted model, not a curated record
UUAUGUAUCUUCAUUUAUACAUGUGUGUUUGUUUGUCUAUCUGUCAAACUGUUUUUGGAAAAUCCUCAGAAGACGGAAAAAUUGAAUCUUCUAUUGAAUUUUAAAAUCAGACAGUUGCGAGAGAACGAACAGAGCGGUAGAAGGAAAAAAGUUGGUUUUGUUAGAAAUAUUAUUAUUAAAAGAUACAAAAUAAUGAAAUCAAAUAAGAAAAGUGGAAAAAAUUAAAUAAAAACCAACAGAAUUUUGCUACAACGAAGAAAUUUAUAGAAAACAAAAACGCGUUUUAAAAUCGACCAAAUUAAAGGAAUAGAAAAAAGUUUAAAUAAAAAAGUAAAGAAAGUCGAGUAAUUAGAAAAUAAUAUGUGGUGAUGCACAACAGUGAUUAAAAACGAAAAAAACAACAAUAAAAACCAUACCACAAAAUAGUGCUCAAAGUGUAACAGUAUGUGUAAAAUUUGCUAAAGAAAAACAACAA